Molecule: ribosomal RNA, 484 nt
Filed under: uncultured bacterium
Lineage: Bacteria
Description: partial 16S ribosomal RNA
Rfam family: Bacterial small subunit ribosomal RNA
Source: RNAcentral
AGUUAACGCUGGCGGCGUGCCUAACACAUGCAAGUCGAGCGAAGAGUGGCAGCGUAUCGCGCUCUUAGCGGCAGACGGGUGAGUAACACGUAAACAAUAUGCCCUCGAGUGGGAGACCACCAAGCGAAAGUUUGGCUAAUACCCCAUACAAUCCAGUCCGGGCAUCCGGAUUGGAUGAAAGUCGUAAGACGUUCGAGGAGUAGUUUGCGGCCUAUCAGCUAGUUGGUGAGGUAAUGGCUCACCAAGGCGACGACGGGUAGCCGGCCUGAGAGGGUGACCGGCCACACUGGAACUGAGACACGGUCCAGACUCCUACGGGAGGCAGCAGUGGGGAAUAUUGCACAAUGGGCGAAAGCCUGAUGCAGCAACGCCGCGUGAGGGAUGAAGGCCUUCGGGUUGUAAACCUCUUUUAGCAGGGAAGAAGCGAAAGUGACGGUACCUGCAGAAAAGGCACCGGCUAACUACGUGCCAGCCGCCGCGGUAA